GUGCCAGCCGCCGCGGUAAGACGUAGGGGGCGAGCGUUGUCCGGAAUUACUGGGCGUAAAGGGUGCGUAGGCGGCCCUUUAAGUCAGAUGUGAAAGCCCGCGGCUUAACCGCGGAACUGCAUUUGAAACUGGAGGGCUUGAGUGUCGGAGAGGGUAGUGGAAUUCCCAGUGUAGCGGUGAAAUGCGUAGAUAUUGGGAGGAACACCAGUGGCGAAGGCGACUACCUGGACGAUAACUGACGCUGAGGCACGAAAGCUAGGGGAGCAAACAGGAUUAGAUACCCUGGUAGUCCUAGCCGUAAACGAUGGGUACUAGGUGUGGGUGGUUUCGAUACCAUCCGUGCCGCAGCUAACGCAUUAAGUACCCCGCCUGGGGAGUACGGUCGCGAGGCUGAAACUUAAAUGAAUUGGCGG
Molecule: ribosomal RNA, 413 nt
Filed under: uncultured bacterium
Lineage: Bacteria
Description: bacterial SSU rRNA
Rfam family: Bacterial small subunit ribosomal RNA
Source: RNAcentral